UGGGGAAUAUUGGACAAUGGGCGAAAGCCUGAUCCAGCCAUGCCGCGUGUGUGAAGAAGGUCUUCGGAUUGUAAAGCACUUUAAGUUGGGAGGAAGGGCAGUAAGCGAAUACCUUGCUGUUUUGACGUUACCGACAGAAUAAGCACCGGCUAACUCUGUGCCAGCAGCCGCGGUAAUACAGAGGGUGCAAGCGUUAAUCGGAAUUACUGGGCGUAAAGCGCGCGUAGGUGGUUCGUUAAGUUGAAUGUGAAAGCCCCGGGCUCAACCUGGGAACUGCAUCCAAAACUGGCGAGCUAGAGUAGGGCAGAGGGUGGUGGAAUUUCCUGUGUAGCGGUGAAAUACGUAGAUAUAGGAAGGAACACCAGUGGCGAAGGCGACCACCUGGGCUCAUACUGACACUGAGGUGCGAAAGCGUGGGGAGCAAACAGG
RNAcentral lists this ribosomal RNA (429 nucleotides) under Pseudomonadota bacterium. RNAcentral describes it as "Proteobacteria bacterium partial 16S ribosomal RNA". It matches the Rfam family "Bacterial small subunit ribosomal RNA", at positions 355 to 776 of the family's 1533-position model. The record is from RNAcentral. Lineage: Bacteria; Pseudomonadati; Pseudomonadota.